AGUGAACGCUGGCGGUAGGCCUAACACAUGCAAGUCGAACGGCAGCACAGUAAGAGCUUGCUCUUACGGGUGGCGAGUGGCGGACGGGUGAGGAAUACAUCGGAAUCUACUUUUUCGUGGGGGAUAACGUAGGGAAACUUACGCUAAUACAGCAUACGACCUACGGGUGAAAGCAGUGGAUCUUCGGACCUUGCGCGAUUGAAUGAGCCGAUGUCGGAUUAGCUAGUUGGCGGGGUAAAGGCCCACCAAGGCGACGAUCCGUAGCUGGUCUGAGAGGAUGAUCAGCCACACUGGAACUGAGACACGGUCCAGACUCCUACGGGAGUCAGCAGUGGGGAAUAUUGGACAAUGGGCGCAAGCCUGAUCCAGCCAUACCGCGUGGGUGAAGAAGGCCUUCGGGUUGUAAAGCCCUUUUGUUGGGAAAGAAAAGCAGCAGGUUAAUACCCCGCUGUUCUGACGGUACCCAAAGAAUAAGCACGGGCUAACUUCGUG
RNAcentral lists this ribosomal RNA (492 nucleotides) under uncultured bacterium. RNAcentral's name for it is "partial 16S ribosomal RNA". It matches the Rfam family "Bacterial small subunit ribosomal RNA", at positions 29 to 507 of the family's 1533-position model. The record is from RNAcentral.